This 462-nucleotide ribosomal RNA is filed under the name uncultured bacterium. Its description in RNAcentral is "partial 16S ribosomal RNA". It matches the Rfam family "Bacterial small subunit ribosomal RNA", at positions 28 to 507 of the family's 1533-position model. The record is from RNAcentral.
GACGAACGCUGGCGGCGUGCUUAACACAUGCAAGUCGAGCGGAAAGGCCCUUCGGGGUCCUCGAGCGGCGAACGGGUGAGUAACACGUGAGUAACCUGCCCCAGACUUUGGGAUAACCCUCGGAAACGGGGGCUAAUACCGGAUACGACACAGCUUCGCAUGGGGUCUGUGUGGAAAGUUUUUCGGGUUGGGAUGGGCUCGCGGCCUAUCAGCUUGUUGGUGGGGUGAUGGCCUACCAAGGCGACGACGGGUAGCCGGCCUGAGAGGGUGACCGGCCACACUGGGACUGAGAGACGGCCCAGACUCCUACGGGAGGCAGCAGUGGGGAAUAUUGCACAAUGGGCGGAAGCCUGAUGCAGCGACGCCGCGUGAGGGAUGACGGCCUUCGGGUUGUAAACCUCUUUCAGCAGGGACGAAGCGUAAGUGACGGUACCUGCAGAAGAAGCGCCGGCUAACUACGUG